AAUGAACGCUGGCGGCAGGCCUAACACAUGCAAGUCGAACGGAUCCUUCGGGAUUAGUGGCGGACGGGUGAGUAACGCGUGGGAACAUACCCAAAGGUACGGAAUAGCCUCGGGAAACUGGGAGUAAUACAGUAUGUGCUCGAGAGAGGAAAGAUUUAUCGCCUUUGGAUUGGCCCGCGUUGGAUUAGGUAGUUGGUGGGGUAAUGGCCUAUCAAGCCGACGAUCCAUAGCUGGUUUGAGAGGAUGAUCAGCCACACUGGGACUGAGACACGGCCCAGACUCCUACGGGAGGCAGCAGUGGGGAAUCUUAGACAAUGGGGGAAACCCUGAUCUAGCCAUGCCGCGUGAUCGAUGAAGGCCUUAGGGUUGUAAAGAUCUUUCAGGUGGGAAGAUAAUGACUGUACCACCAGAAGAAGCCCCGGCUAACUCCGUGCCAGCAGCCGCGGUAA
Molecule: ribosomal RNA, 449 nt
Filed under: uncultured bacterium
Lineage: Bacteria
Description: partial 16S ribosomal RNA
Rfam family: Bacterial small subunit ribosomal RNA
Source: RNAcentral